CUGAUGUAUUACUGUGGCUCUUUGGCAAUGUACAUUGGUAAAUUCUGGUGCCUUCUCAGGCUCAGGGUCGCCACCCCCGGGCCAGAGCCAUGUGAUG
Molecule: non-coding RNA, 97 nt
Organism: Chelonoidis abingdonii (Abingdon island giant tortoise)
Lineage: Eukaryota; Metazoa; Chordata; Testudines; Testudinidae
Source: RefSeq, a predicted model, not a curated record